Molecule: ribosomal RNA, 729 nt
Filed under: Candidatus Regiella insecticola
Lineage: Bacteria; Pseudomonadati; Pseudomonadota; Gammaproteobacteria; Enterobacterales; Enterobacteriaceae
Description: bacterial SSU rRNA
Rfam family: Bacterial small subunit ribosomal RNA
Source: RNAcentral
CUGGGRAUCUGGCUUAUGGAGGGGGAUAACCAUUGGAAACGGUGGCUAAUACCGCAUGAUGUCGCAAGACCAAAGUGGGGGACCUUARGGCCUCACGCCAUGAGAUGAACCCAGAUGAGAUUAGCUAGUAGGUGCGGUAAUGGCGUACCUAGGCGACGAUCUCUAGCUGGUCUGAGAGGAUGACCAGCCACACUGGAACUGAGAGACGGUCCAGACUCCUACGGGAGGCAGCAGUGGGGAAUAUUGCACAAUGGGCGGAAGCCUGAUGCAGCCAUGCCGCGUGUGUGAAGAAGGCCUUAGGGUUGUAAAGCACUUUCAGCGGGGAGGAAGGCGGUAAGAGUAAUAUGCUUAUCRAUUGACGUUACCCGCAAAAGAAGCACCGGCUAACUCCGUGCCAGCAGCCGCGGUAAUACGGAGGGUGCGAGCGUUAAUCGGAAUAACUGGGCGUAAAGRGCAUGUAGGCGGUAAGUUAAGUCAGAUGUGAAAUCCCCGAGCUUAACUUGGGAACGGCAUUUGAGACUGGCUGGCUAGAGUUUUGUAGAGGGGGGUAGAAUUCCAGGUGUAGCGGUGAAAUGCGUAGAGAUCUGGAGGAAUACCGGUGGCGAAGGCGGCCCCCUGGACAAGGACUGACGCUGAGGUGCGAAAGCGUGGGUAGCAAACAGGAUUAGAUACCCUGGUAGUCCACGCUGUAAACGAUGUCGAUUUGGAGGUUGUGACCUAGUGUUAUGG